GCUGUCGGAUCUUUCCCCUGGGAUCUGGAAGCUUCUUUGCUUGUCCCUGUAGCUUUGAAACCGCAAAAGGACAGGGCAAGGGCACUGGUCUGAACCUGACCUGUGUGCCGUGACCCAAUGAGCUCUCUCAAUCUUCACCCGCCCUGCUUCAGCCUCUAAGCAAAGGAAUUGCAGCAGCCAGUUCUCAAAAUAACUCACUGGCUGACCGCCUUCCGUUCCCUCCAGCAGACCAGCGAUGUGAACAUUCUUCCUCCUGCCCCGAUUCUCAAGGUCGUCAACAUUUUCAGUUAAGGCUUUCAAGAUGCUGCUCAUGUCUUUGGAGCACGGCUGAGAAGGGUCAAACCUGCUGCUAAACUUUUCUUCAAUCGUGGCUUCAAUAAUUUCUUGCAACAUUGUGAACUCGGCGACCAGGGCCUGCCAAGAAGGAAUGCCUUGGGAAGCAGGCCUAUAUCAAGGAAAUGGAACUGAAGAAAUAUGUGAAAAUCAUUCACCAAUCUAGUAAGGGACUGGGGAGAUGUUGUCUUUGUCAGUGCUUAUAGCAAUAACAUGAAGAGUUUAAGUGCAUAACCAUAGAAACAGAAUGAUUAAGAAAUCUGGAGAUGGGGCUAAGUACAUCAUCCUGGAUCUAUGUUCGAUAAUGCUUUAGAUUCUGAUGAAUUGUGGUAAUAUGUGUGAAAUGUAGAGAUCAAAGGUGGAAUUUUAUGAGUUUCAAAUGAAUGUAUCUUGUAAUCAUGCUGGAUUGUGGAGUGCAAUACACUCAAGUUCUCAGAGUGAAAUGUGAACUGUAAA
This is a long non-coding RNA of Hemiscyllium ocellatum (epaulette shark), 789 nucleotides long. RefSeq lists it as uncharacterized. The transcript is spliced from 3 exons. The record is from RefSeq and is a predicted model, not a curated record. Lineage: Eukaryota; Metazoa; Chordata; Chondrichthyes; Orectolobiformes; Hemiscylliidae.